AGCUGACAUCUUCAAUGUCGAACAAAACAACGAUUGAUUUAAUGAUGUCUUCAUUUUGUAGGAGCUCCAAAAAGAACAGUCAAUGUUAUCUAAGGCUGUCCAUUCUCCUUCUGUGAAGUGCAUUUGCUCGGUCAUCAACUUGGUUUAAAGAAAUGAUUGAGAGGCAGAGUAGGACCAGAAAUAAUGCAGUUCAUCAUCUUGAAAAAUAAAAAAGGCUUUCCUUCAGACCAGUACAUUGUCCCUGAGAAAAGAGACUUACAGUCAAUAUAUAGCAACCAAUUUGUUGAGCCAAUAAUCAGCACAUAUACUUCUCAACAUUUAAUUGCUAUCUAAUAAAAAAACUGAUUGGCAGGGACAUGAAAAAUAUGAUUACUUGUUGUCCAUGUGCAAAAAGAAUGCAAGAUUGGUAUCUAUUUUGGCAGUGGCGAAGACGGGGGUCGGCAGGGGACCUGCCCCCCUAAUCAGUGAUUUGCUCCUAAAUUUCCUAUAAACAGUGCUUUAUAUAUAUAUAUGAGGCCCAUCAUAAAGAUAACAUGAAGAAUCUCUAGAAAAGUGUCACUAAAAAAUACAUCUUGUCAAAAGAAACAGCACAAAACCUGUAGAGAACAAAAAUCUAAGGACAAGUCGAAAGAAUAAUGUGACGAGCGAAAGGACAGAAGAGGAUGGAAGAAGAACAAACGUCAAACACACGAACGGAGCAGAGGAAGCUACCCCAUCGCCGUAGACAAAAUGAAACAAUCGCCGACUGAGAUGAACAAAGAACUGGCGCGUGUGCCGGCAUCGUUGCUCUGGAUGCAGAGCUGACAAGAUGUAGGGCAAUGAUAGAUGUUAAUAGCACAAAAAAUAUUUAGCCAACCUCACUAACAAUGUAGUAAUUUACUAAAGGCACUCAAACAACAUUAGCGCCUAUGCUGUAGGAGUAUGCGCAUAUAACAUCUUCAAUAGUUACAUAAACCAAGGAAAUCAAGUUCAAUAUAUAUACAACGUGGCACAGUAGCGGCUAGGCAAGCUUCCAUGGACCGAACAGUGAUUCUGAUGUACAGAUAUGAGAUGUCCAGCUCUGGUUUGAGACUCGGUAGUAUCUCAGGGUACACAGAAUCAAUCAUAAUGUCAACCAAGAUAAAGUACUUCUGAGUUUUGGUAAGCAAAGAACAAAAUAACAUGUAAAUGUUGGCAAGAACAUAAGGGUAUGAAAUCAUGAGAUGCCAUCUGAAUUAAUAAAAGCGAGGAAAGGAGUUUCACUCUGGUGUUUUUAUUUCCAUACCUCUAGAGUCGUUGACAUCAACUUCUAUUCUCUCUUCCUUUGUGUGAGACUGCAUAAUAAAGUCAGAUUCAUACAUGAGCUUUUCUACAUGCAUAACUAAACAAAGAAAGUAAAGGGGGAAUGGAAAACAUGGAUCAUAUAUACCUAGCGGCAUGUCUAGAAGCAACAAUCAUAUUCCUUAGAAAAGAAACCGAAAGUUUUGUUCGAAGUGUUGCCAAUUGCAGUGCACAUGUUAAAAUAUCAAAUUGCAGACUACACAAGUAACUUCAAUAAUUAAGAGCUUGUGGAACUUCUUUCUUUAUUGCAUCAAGUUAACAGUGUAUAUAAUUACAAAAUUGAAAUUGCAUAUCUUGAUCCUAUAGAUCUGAAGAAAAUAAGGUUCUCCUGUGAGGACAAAACUACAACAAUCAUGGUGAGGUAAUCAAGAAAUUAGUACAAAAGCCUGAAGCUGGUCCGUUAUAGAACUCAGCUACAUCGUCAUCUGUUGCUGUUGUGGUCUCGUCGUUGGGAAGAACUGCUAGUUGAUCCUCAGCUUGUCUCUG
This 1806-nucleotide long non-coding RNA is filed under the name Triticum aestivum (bread wheat). RNAcentral's name for it is "long non-coding RNA (TAES_LNC013879)". The record is from RNAcentral. Lineage: Eukaryota; Viridiplantae; Streptophyta; Magnoliopsida; Poales; Poaceae.